GCAUUGUUCGCAGAUUCUGGAGCUGCAAGGCCUUUGACAGAGCCCUUGCCGAACUCAGCCUGUUCUUCUUUCGGCGCGAUGUU
RNAcentral lists this transfer RNA (83 nucleotides) under Pseudovibrio sp. Ad13. Its description in RNAcentral is "tRNA-Val". The record is from RNAcentral. Lineage: Bacteria; Pseudomonadati; Pseudomonadota; Alphaproteobacteria; Hyphomicrobiales; Stappiaceae.